CCUACGGGUGGCAGCAGUGAGGAAUAUUGGUCAAUGGCCGGAAGGCUGAACCAGCCAUGCCGCGUGAAGGUCAGUGCCCUAUGGGCGUUAAACUUCUUUUGUGCGGGAGCAAUAAUGGUCACGUGUGGCCAGACGAGAGUACCGUACGAAUAAGCAUCGGCUAACUCCGUGCCAGCAGCCGCGGUAAUACGGGGGAAGCAAGCGUUAUCCGGAUUUAUUGGGUUUAAAGGGUGCGUAGGCUGUGAGGUAAGUCAGCGGUGAAAUGCCCCCGCUCAACGGGGUGAAGUGCCAUUGAUACUGCCUGGCUGGAAUGCGGAUGCCGUGGGAGGAAUGUGUGGUGUAGCGGUGAAAUGCAUAGAUAUCACACAGAACACCGAUUGCGAAGGCAUCUCACGAAGCCGCGAUUGACGCUGAUGCACGAAAGCGUGGGUAUCAAACAGGAUUAGAUACCCUUGUAGUC
RNAcentral lists this ribosomal RNA (460 nucleotides) under uncultured bacterium. Its description in RNAcentral is "partial 16S ribosomal RNA". It matches the Rfam family "Bacterial small subunit ribosomal RNA", at positions 338 to 795 of the family's 1533-position model. The record is from RNAcentral.